AGUUAAAACCUAAAUGAGCAACAAACGAGGUGACGUGCGUUAUCAGUUUUGUCUUCCAUGUCUUCCUCAUCCUGCUGUUUGCUCCACGGCUCUUGACAGGAUGGAGACGAGGAAAGAACUUCCACAUCCACAUUCAAAACGUCUGCCAGAACUCCCUCAGGCGAUUACUUUAAAACAUGAAAGAAAUUGCACCUUUUCCUUAAGGGCAAGAUGGUGCUGUGGGCUUUCCUCUCUCCUGAUGAGAUGAUGCAAAUGGACUCCAUAGAGAAACGCUGCCCGUGUAACAAUGCAGUUACGCAACCCGGUGCAUGACACAUGAAUUGCAGCGCACCUGAGAUCCUGAUGAAAUCCUGGGAGCCUGGAGCUGUCAAACAUGGUUUUAAAAAAUAAAGGGAAUACACCCAGCCCACACCCUGACUUUACAACCUUUAAUUAAUUAGAGGAAAGAAAGAGA
Long non-coding RNA from Homo sapiens (human), 454 nucleotides. Ensembl annotates it as long intergenic non-protein coding RNA 484. The record is from Ensembl. NCBI's taxonomy places the organism in Eukaryota, Metazoa, Chordata, Mammalia, Primates, Hominidae.